UAGUUCAACUCAGUAAGUCUUCUGUGGUUCAUACAUUUAUACCAGUCAGUCUAGAAUGUUAUACCGCGUUUAACGCAAACUAUAUACAACUUUCAGCAACGGAUCUCUUGGCUCUCGCAUCGAUGAAGAACGCAGCGAAAUGCGAUAAGUAAUGUGAAUUGCAGAAUUCAGUGAAUCAUCGAAUCUUUGAACGCACCUUGCACUCCUUGGUAUUCCGAGGAGUAUGCCUGUUUGAGUGUCAUGGUAUUCUCAAUUCUAAUAACUUUUGUUAUUCGGAAUUGGACUUGGAGGUUUUUUGCCGGUGCUUCGGCGGCUGGCUCCUCUUAAAUGCAUUAGUGUGAAUCGAGUUACACGUUACUCAGUGUGAUAAUUAUCUGCGCUGUGUUUCAACGUUGACUUCAUAAGUGUUCAUGCUUAUAACCCGUCUGUUGACUCAGACACUUUACUUUGAAAUCUGACCUCAAAUCAGGUAGGACUACCCGCUGAACUUAAGCAUAUCAAUAAGCGGAGGAAAAGAAACUAACAAGGAUUCCCCUAGUAACUGCGAGUGAAGCGGGAAAAGCUCAAAUUUAAAAUCUGGCAGUCUUUGAUGUCCGAG
This 598-nucleotide ribosomal RNA is filed under the name Podoscypha petalodes. RNAcentral's name for it is "eukaryotic LSU rRNA". The stretch from base 88 to 241 matches the Rfam family "5.8S ribosomal RNA". Lineage: Eukaryota; Fungi; Basidiomycota; Agaricomycetes; Polyporales; Podoscyphaceae. The record is from RNAcentral.